Rhipicephalus microplus (southern cattle tick) is the source of this 391-nucleotide long non-coding RNA. Lineage: Eukaryota; Metazoa; Arthropoda; Arachnida; Ixodida; Ixodidae. The record is from RefSeq and is a predicted model, not a curated record.
AGCCGGACAAUGAAGCUGACGGUGACCCUGAUUGCUUUCGCCAUUGUUGGCAUAAUUCUUCAUGACAGUUCAGCUGCACCGGCAGGCCAGCUCGCCGGAGCGUCGUCUGAGGAAGCUCAACGCACUGUUCGUUACAACGAUGACGCCGUAGCCCGUGUAUCUGUCGCUUGUGUGAACAAUAUUUGCUCCGUGUCGCAAUUGAGGAAAUAGGUGCCAGCCUUACAAAAAGUUACGCGUGGUUGCAACGCAGCCUUGCGUAACUGCUGCUCGAUUUUGAAGCAGAAGAUGAUUUUACUGCAGCGCUGCUUCAAACGACCACGUGUGCAAUGAUAUCGUCGACUGCACUCUGCAGGUGGUGGUGGUGAAAUAAAUUGGUUUUCAAAAGCAGUAA